Molecule: unclassified non-coding RNA, 329 nt
Filed under: soil metagenome
Description: partial contains 5.8S ribosomal RNA, internal transcribed spacer 2, and large subunit ribosomal RNA
Rfam family: 5.8S ribosomal RNA (bases 1-120)
Source: RNAcentral
GAUGAAGAACGUAGCGAAAUGCGAUAAGUAAUGUGAAUUGCAGAAUUCAGUGAAUCAUCGAAUCUUUGAACGCACAUUGCGCCCCCUGGUAUUCCGGGGGGCAUGCCUGUCCGAGCGUCAUUACAACCCUCAAGCUCAGCUUGGUGUUGGGCCCCGCCGCCCCGGCGGGCCCUAAAGUCAGUGGCGGUGCCGUCCGGCUCCGAGCGUAGUAAUUCUUCUCGCUCUGGAGGUCCGGUCGUGUGCUCGCCAGCAACCCCCAAUUUUUUUCAGGUUGACCUCGGAUCAUGUAGGGAUACCCGCUGAACUUAAGCAUAUCAAUAAGCGGAGGA